This 1393-nucleotide ribosomal RNA is filed under the name Escherichia coli. RNAcentral describes it as "partial 23S ribosomal RNA". It matches the Rfam family "Bacterial large subunit ribosomal RNA", at positions 1561 to 2925 of the family's 2925-position model. The record is from RNAcentral. Lineage: Bacteria; Pseudomonadati; Pseudomonadota; Gammaproteobacteria; Enterobacterales; Enterobacteriaceae.
GCGUGAUGACGAGGCACUACGGUGCUGAAGCAACAAAUGCCCUGCUUCCAGGAAAAGCCUCUAAGCAUCAGGUAACAUCAAAUCGUACCCCAAACCGACACAGGUGGUCAGGUAGAGAAUACCAAGGCGCUUGAGAGAACUCGGGUGAAGGAACUAGGCAAAAUGGUGCCGUAACUUCGGGAGAAGGCACGCUGAUAUGUAGGUGAAGUCCCUCGCGGAUGGAGCUGAAAUCAGUCGAAGAUACCAGCUGGCUGCAACUGUUUAUUAAAAACACAGCACUGUGCAAACACGAAAGUGGACGUAUACGGUGUGACGCCUGCCCGGUGCCGGAAGGUUAAUUGAUGGGGUUAGCGCAAGCGAAGCUCUUGAUCGAAGCCCCGGUAAACGGCGGCCGUAACUAUAACGGUCCUAAGGUAGCGAAAUUCCUUGUCGGGUAAGUUCCGACCUGCACGAAUGGCGUAAUGAUGGCCAGGCUGUCUCCACCCGAGACUCAGUGAAAUUGAACUCGCUGUGAAGAUGCAGUGUACCCGCGGCAAGACGGAAAGACCCCGUGAACCUUUACUAUAGCUUGACACUGAACAUUGAGCCUUGAUGUGUAGGAUAGGUGGGAGGCUUUGAAGUGUGGACGCCAGUCUGCAUGGAGCCGGCCUUGAAAUACCACCCUUUAAUGUUUGAUGUUCUAACGUGGACCCGUAAUCCGGGUUGCGGACAGUGUCUGGUGGGUAGUUUGACUGGGGCGGUCUCCUCCUAAAGAGUAACGGAGGAGCACGAAGGUUGGCUAAUCCUGGUCGGACAUCAGGAGGUUAGUGCAAUGGCAUAAGCCAGCUUGACUGCGAGCGUGACGGCGCGAGCAGGUGCGAAAGCAGGUCAUAGUGAUCCGGUGGUUCUGAAUGGAAGGGCCAUCGCUCAACGGAUAAAAGGUACUCCGGGGAUAACAGGCUGAUACCGCCCAAGAGUUCAUAUCGACGGCGGUGUUUGGCACCUCGAUGUCGGCUCAUCACAUCCUGGGGCUGAAGUAGGUCCCAAGGGUAUGGCUGUUCGCCAUUUAAAGUGGUACGCGAGCUGGGUUUAGAACGUCGUGAGACAGUUCGGUCCCUAUCUGCCGUGGGCGCUGGAGAACUGAGGGGGGCUGCUCCUAGUACGAGAGGACCGGAGUGGACGCAUCACUGGUGUUCGGGUUGUCAUGCCAAUGGCACUGCCCGGUAGCUAAAUGCGGAAGAGAUAAGUGCUGAAAGCAUCUAAGCACGAAACUUGCCCCGAGAUGAGUUCUCCCUGACUCCUUGAGAGUCCUGAAGGAACGUUGAAGACGACGACGUUGAUAGGCCGGGUGUGUAAGCGCAGCGAUGCGUUGAGCUAACCGGUACUAAUGAACCGUGAGGCUUAACCUUACAAC